RNAcentral lists this ribosomal RNA (199 nucleotides) under uncultured Microlunatus sp. RNAcentral describes it as "partial 16S ribosomal RNA". It matches the Rfam family "Bacterial small subunit ribosomal RNA", at positions 117 to 315 of the family's 1533-position model. Lineage: Bacteria; Bacillati; Actinomycetota; Actinomycetes; Propionibacteriales; Propionibacteriaceae. The record is from RNAcentral.
GUGAGCAACCUGGCCUUGACACUGGAAUAACAGUUGGAAACAGCUGCUAAUGCCGGAUACGACCUUCGGUGGCAUCACCUGGAGGUGGAAAGUGCUUAGCGGUCAAGGAUGGGCUCGCGGCCUAUCAGCUAGUUGGUGAGGUAACGGCUCACCAAGGCUUCGACGGGUAGCCGGCCUGAGAGGGCGACCGGCCACACUG